RNAcentral lists this long non-coding RNA (1117 nucleotides) under Sus scrofa (pig). RNAcentral describes it as "lncRNA (ENSSSCG00035078191.1)". Lineage: Eukaryota; Metazoa; Chordata; Mammalia; Artiodactyla; Suidae. The record is from RNAcentral.
CCUUAGCCUGGGAAUUCCAUAUGCUGAGGGUGUGGUCCUUAAAAAAAAAAGGUAUAAAAAAAGACACUAUAAGUAUCAGCAAUUCUGCUCCUUCAGGCUGAGCUACACCAGAAAAACAUGCCUCCAUGUGUACGUUGUGAUUAUAGAAAAUUGUGUCUGGAAUGUUUGGGGUAUGAAUGUUCCAUACACUUGAUGUCUGUAAAAUUGUAUUCUAUUUAUUCUGGUGUUACUACAGUAUUUACAGUGUGUGUGAAGCUAUAUUUUAUAACAAAUGGAAUGUGUUUGUCUUGGCCUAGAUAAGUGCUGUGUAUUUUAUGACUGUACUUGCAGAACCUAUUGAGUGGAUCUCUUCAAUCCUUUCUUUAAGGAUGAAGAUUAUGCCUACGACUCUUGCUGUGUUAGAAGAUAUGUAUGGAUAUAUGGCUUUCCCAAGCUCAAUAAUGGAAUUCCUUCUUUUGCAGGGGGAGGGAGUGCUGCACCUGCGGCAUGCGGAAGUUUCGAAGGUAGAGAUCAAACCAAGCCACAGCAGUGACGAUGCCGGAUCCUUAACCUGCUGUACCGUCGGGGAACCCCUAAAUCCUCGUUUUAAUAAAUAGGAAAACUAUGGCUCAUCGGGUGAAGUGAAAGUCAUAAAGCUAGUGAAUGGAGUUGCUGAGAUUCAAACAGAUAUUUUACUCUAAAUUUCAUUAUCUUUUCAAUAUGUUUAUGCCUAAGAUAAAGGGGGAAAUGUAUACAUCAUUUUAUCCUUGACAUCAGUGUAUCCCCCAUGCCCACAUAACAGUAGAGAAAAUUUUGAAUUAAUCUUACUAUGUGGUGAUUGCAUUUCAAAGGAUCAGUGAGGAUCUGAGCCCCUCCUAACCUCUUUAGUCUGGCUCUGUCAUCAGUAGCCCAGUUUAGAGUUGAUAGCCCCAUCUGAGAUUUAGUUUGUGGCCCCAGUCAGAGGUUCUAGAUCAAGAUCAAGUUCCUUUGACCCCCAGGCCCAGGUCCAGCUACAAAGCAAUACAAGCUCAAGAGAAGGAAGGAGACGGUUCUGAGAGCACCUUGGGGAGCACCCUCCCUAACCUGAGAUGUUUUAGGGCAGAAUAAAAGAAUCCCUGGAGCAAGUAGGUCCUAGAUA